Molecule: long non-coding RNA, 510 nt
Organism: Magnolia sinica
Lineage: Eukaryota; Viridiplantae; Streptophyta; Magnoliopsida; Magnoliales; Magnoliaceae
Exons: 3
Source: RefSeq, a predicted model, not a curated record
UUUAGUAAAUUAAAUUUUGUUUUGUAAAAUUUCAUUUAUGGUUAAGUUAUUUUCUUAAUAAGUUUAUUACCUUAAUCCAUUAUUUACAAAAUUACAGGAUAAAUUUGUCUUGGAUUUGAGUGUUCCGUACAUUUCCCAUGCCGUCGACGACAUGAUCAAGGAGCGGUUUAAGGAGUACCGCAGUGAUUUACACCAGCGGUACAAGCGGUGCAGGAGCCUCGAGGAGGCCGUAUUGACCGCACCGCUGCACGUGACCAUUGACGAUUGGCGGAUACUCUGUGAGAGAUUUUCGUCUGAGUCUUUUUAGAAGAGGAGCAAAAUAAAUUCUGCGAACAGGGAAAAGUUGGAAGUGAACCACAUAGCUGGUUCAAAGUCAUUUGUACAACUUCGUCGCGACAUACGAGAUUCCGUCACUGGACAGGAGCCCGGACCAGUAGACUUCUACAGAGAGACUCAUUGUCGGCAGGUGACGGGAUUUUGGGUACAUCCUACAGCCAGCGAGAAUUGGGU